AGUAAUGGUAGGCUCAUUUCGAGGGCUAAGCCAUGCAAGUGCAAGUACGCUUGCUAUCAAGCUUAACCGCGCGAGCCUCGUGCCUUCCUGGGACCGAGGACCAUCCGCAGUUAACGUCAGACCGAGUCGACUGCGUACGGCUCAGUAGACUCGUCAUAAUGGACGUUGGUAGAAUCGUAUCAACGAGGUUUGGAUAACGGUGACAAAUUUAGCGCUAAUACAUUAUGUCAUUAGUUAUCUAGGCAGCAUAGCUGCUUAACUUGACUGCAGUCGGGGAGAGCUAAACUUGUCUGAGCGGUCAAACGUUCUUACAAAAGCAAUCCCGGAGAGGGGCUGUAGUUGGAUCUUGUCGUCCAUUAAGACAAGACGCCUCAACACCGGAGGCGAGCUUAUCAGGCCUGAUGCGCGCAUCAGGUUCUUGCCUAGCUGUUACGAGUAACGGGGUAUCAGGGUACGAUACCGGAGAGGGAGCCUUAAAAACGGCUACCACUACCAAGGAAGGCAGCAGGCGCGCAACUUACCCAAUACCGACACGGUGAGGUAGUAAAAAGGAGUGACAUUGCGAAGAUCCUCUCGAGAGGCUUCGUUAUUGGAUUGAAAACAAUCCAAAUACAAUAAAAAGUUACUGGAGGGCAAGUCUGGUGCCAGCAGCCGCGGUAAUUCCAGCUCCAGUGGCCUACGUUAAUUUUGCUGCGGUUAAAAAGCUCGUAGUCAAGUUUGCGUUUGGUCGCGUCGGCAGUCUGAUUCUAUGGAAUCGCUCUGGCGCGCCGAACGUCAGGUUCGGAGCGUGCGAUUGAACUGUUUGCCUCUGCGCUUUCAGUAAAAAUCGGACAACGGACCACAUUACUUUAAGCAAAUUAGAGUGUUCAAAGCAGGUCAGGAGUGCCNUGUAUAGAGUUGUAUGGAAUAGUAUAAAAGGAUUGAGAACUUGCCCGAAUAGCUCUCGGGUGUUCUAAUAAUGACGAAGGGGGACGGCUGGGGGCAUCCGUAUUGCGGCGCGAGAGGUGAAAUUCUGAGACCGUCGCAGGACGACCUACAGCGAAAGCAUUUGCCAAAAACGUCUCCUUCGAUCAAGAACGAAAGUCAGAGGUUCGAAGGCGAUUAGAUACCGCCCUAGUUCUGACCUUAAACGAUGUUAACCAGUUAUCCGCCAUAGUAUAGAAUACUUGGUGGGCAGCUUCCGGGAAACCUAGAGUGUUUCAGUUCCGGGGGUAGUAUGGUUGCAAAGCUGAAACUUAAAGGAAUUGACGGAAGGGCACCACCAGGAGUGGAGCCUGCGGCUUAAUUUGACUCAACACGGGGAACCUCACCAGGUCCGGACAUGAUUGCGAUGGACAGAUCGAUAGCUCUUUCUAGAUCUCAUGGAUGGUGGUGCAUGGCCGUUCUUAGUUCGUGGAGCGAUUUGUCUGGUUAAUUCCGAUAACGAGCGAGACUCUACCUUACUAACUAAGACGUACGAUAUACACGAGGUCUGUUGCCGUACACUCGUUUGUCGCUCCGUACAUCUCGGUGUGCGGUAGUGUACUGCGGGUUACGGCACGGUCCAUACUAUCGGCGCAAAUGUUUUCUUCUUAGAAGAACAAGCUAUAUAUAGUAGCACGAGAGAGAGCAAUAACAGGUCUGUGAUGCCCUUAGAUGUCCUGGGCCGCACGCGUGCGACAAUGAAAGAGUCAAUAGGUGUCCUAGGCCGAAAUGUCUGGGUAAUCCUAGCAAUCUCUUUCGUGUUGGGGAUUGGGGCUUGAAAGUGCUUCCCAUGAACGAGGAAUUCCCAGUAAGCGUAGUUGAUCAAUCUACGCUGAUUGAGUCCCUGCCCUUUGUACACACCGCCCGUCGCUACUACCGAUGAGCGGGCUAGCGAGAUCUUCGGACCGGCGCCUCGAAAGAGGUCGUUACCGGAAAGUCGAUCAAACUUGCCCGUUUAGAGGAAGUAAAA
This 1933-nucleotide ribosomal RNA is filed under the name Cerylambus reticulatus. Its description in RNAcentral is "SSU rRNA". It matches the Rfam family "Eukaryotic small subunit ribosomal RNA". The record is from RNAcentral. Lineage: Eukaryota; Metazoa; Arthropoda; Insecta; Coleoptera; Staphylinidae.